UGCUGCCUGGGACAGCAGAGCAAGCUUCCUAGAAGAAGGGAGCCUUAAGUUGGAUCUUGAGGCACAGGAGUUCAUGAGAACAGGAAGGGCCAGAGGCAUUCCCGACACACAACAAAGAGGUCCAUGGUUUCGAAGCCUGUCAUCCGGAUGACAUAGCAAACGCUGAGGAGCAUUCCAACAAGGCAAGCCCCAAAACACAAGCACUUAUCAAGACUCUGCUGGCUUCAUGUUUGCUCAUCUUCGACUGGCCAAAGCAAGUCACAUGGUCAAGCCCAGAAUCAAUGUGACAGGAGCAGGAAACUGCAUGACUGCCCAGAGGAAUGAUUCAAUGGGGAACAUUACUUAUCCAUGUAAAACACAAGUUUAAGAGAUAGGCGGAAAAAAUAAUAAAGGGAGAUAUCCAAAGAGAAGCCAUUGAAGAAAACUCACGAAGAUCAGUCGGAAAGGAAAAGUAAGACAUCAAGGGAGAAGAGUUUCCAGAAAGAAGGGGCAACGGUGUCAAAUGUCACAGAGAGAACAAGUAGGGAAGGAAUGAACAGUGGUUAUUGGAUUUGCUCUUUGUUAACCUUUUCAGUUUCAAGUGUUGAGGGUCAAAGCUGGGACGCACAGGCAGUUAAUCAUCAACUGAGAUUGAAAUGUUCAUGGAUGGUCAAGAGUUUUGAGGAAAGUGUUCAAGUUUUGGAAUAGUCCCCCUGAGGAAGAAAGAAGCUGCAAAAAGAAAGUGAAAGAACUCACACUGAGUCCUGAGACUCCUGGAGUCCUAAGCUGAGAUUGUAGCAGCACUAAGUCAUUAUGCGACUUUCUUUCUUUUUUUCUUUUUGAGGAAGAUUAGCCCUGAGCUAACAUUGGCCGCCAAUCCUCCUCCUUCUGCUGAGGAAGACUGGCCCUGAGCUAACAUCUGUGCCCAUCUUCCUCUACUUUAUAUGUGGGACGCCUGCCAUAGUGUGGCUUCAAAGCAGUGCGUAGGUCCACACCCGGGAUCCAAACCCCAGGCUGCUGAAGCAGAAUGUGCAAACUUAACCGCUGUGUCACUGGGCCGGCCCGUUAUGCAACUUUCUUAAGUGAUGUUCACCCCUGGGAAAAAGGGGUACAAAUGGUGAAUUACCAGAUUCACCCAGGGGAGUCAUUCACUUCUGGGGAGACACAGAAGCAUCGUUGGCCAGGGACCAGGCAAGAUCAGGCUGUGUUGUUACCUGGAGCCACGAAGUAGCCACAAUCACAGGUUCUUUAUUUAAAUGCAGGACAUGAGUUGUAUGUGGAUAUAACAUGAUAUAUAGAGAUUUCUGGCCAUCUUACAUCCUUUUUUUUUUUUGGAAAUAAAUAUGUCAGCAACAAGAAAGAAGUAACUAAGCAUGUCUCCUGUUCCUUCUAUUCCAUUAGAUCCCUAGGUGGCUGGUUGGCUCAUUUGGUUGGAUUCCCGAGUUAACCAGGCCAAGGCUUUGGGUGCUGUUUUUCUUCUG
RNAcentral lists this long non-coding RNA (1460 nucleotides) under Equus caballus (horse). RNAcentral describes it as "lncRNA (ENSECAG00000056258.1)". Lineage: Eukaryota; Metazoa; Chordata; Mammalia; Perissodactyla; Equidae. The record is from RNAcentral.